AUAAAAGUAACUGCAAUAAAAGUUCACACAAUGUUUUGAAAAUGUAAAAUUAAAUUAGUAGAGUUGGGGGGAAAAAUGACUAGCCAUGAUAAUAAUCAAACACUGAACUGACCAAACUAAUAGUGAUCUUAGCUUUGUAUGCUUUAAGCAGAAAAGACAUCUGAUAUUGCUGGAAAAUUAAACUAUAACAUUUUUAUUGUCUGUCAUAAGAAUUCACCUGCACUGGAGGCACAGUCUCCACUAAGGGCUUCAUCUGAGUCUCUACCUGGGUCUCCACCUGGAUCUCCACCAUUUGCUUCUCAAGGGUCUCCAUCGCGGUCUCCUCCACAGACUUCUCCAGGAAGUCCUUUAAUCUCUGAUUCUGAUCUAAGGGCAGUAUUGCGUAAUCUGCAAUCAUAUGUUAAUGUUGAAGACAUGCCACCAACAGCAAACAGGAUUAAUGUUGUGAGGGGAGACAUUAUAGAAUCACCUUUCAGAGCAUUUAGAACGAGGCAGUUCAACCCUAAUUGCAAAUUGGAUGUGGUGUUUUUUGCGCAUGUGGUUAAGGUGAAGGAGCAGUGGACAAUGGUGGACCCACCAGGGAAUUUCUGACCUUUCUAAUGAAGGAACUUUUGAACUCGCGUUAUUUUGUGGGGCCUGUAUGGAGGAAGAACCUGGGACUGGACUCCAUAGGGACUCAGCAGGGGCAUCUACAUAGUAGCUCAAUAAAGGAAAAGCAAUAUCUGGCUGCCUGCUUCAUGGAGGGGUAUGUGUUUUCACAAAGACUGUUUUGCCAGCUAACUGGGGAGCCAACACCACCUGUUGACAUUGUGGAGGUGCAUGAUGAAGACCUAAGUCAACAGGUACAAAAGGCCAGCUGCAAAUUUAAACAAUAUGCCACAUUUUUAAGACAUUUACCAUUUUGACACAAUUUACCAUUUGUACACUCUUAUGUGUGCCAGAUGAAUGCAUUGAAUUGCAUAAAAUUUUUAAAAUAUUUUUAGAUUUCGGACAUACUAAGAUAAAAUUAAACAUGGAUCACAUGAGAGUAUCAUC
Cyprinus carpio (common carp) is the source of this 1035-nucleotide long non-coding RNA. Lineage: Eukaryota; Metazoa; Chordata; Actinopteri; Cypriniformes; Cyprinidae. The record is from Ensembl.